UUCAAUCGAUGCUUAGACACUGAAGAUGAUUGACGUUGAGAAAUGUCUCAACUGUGUUCAAUCAUAAACCAUGAACUAAGUAGUGACUUGGUUCUGUAAUCUCUGUCAGCUAAAGCUAUUCACAACUAAUUAUGAAUUUAACGUGAAUAAGCUCGAAUGCAAAAAUAUUAAGUUGCUUAACAUGCUUAGGACUGUUAACCCCUUUAUC
Molecule: long non-coding RNA, 208 nt
Filed under: Olea europaea (common olive)
Lineage: Eukaryota; Viridiplantae; Streptophyta; Magnoliopsida; Lamiales; Oleaceae
Description: long non-coding RNA (OEUR_LNC010816)
Source: RNAcentral